This is a long non-coding RNA of Labrus mixtus (cuckoo wrasse), 900 nucleotides long. RefSeq lists it as uncharacterized. The record is from RefSeq and is a predicted model, not a curated record. The transcript is spliced from 2 exons. Lineage: Eukaryota; Metazoa; Chordata; Actinopteri; Labriformes; Labridae.
CUACUAUUCUGUAGGACGCUUUGAUUGGGGCACCUCACCAAUAAAAUACUAUUUUAUAUUUUAUAAGCAGUUUGCCACCACACUGUACUUUUACUCUCCAAAGGCAUAUGAGUAUGUGCGUGACAACUUUAAUAAAGCUUUACCACACAGUCACACCAUCCACACAGCUGAUCCAGGAUUUACUGUAGCAUCUUUUACAGCACUAAGAGGUCAUGUACAGGCAAACAGAGAGAAGGGAAAAGAAACAAUCUGUGCUCUCAAAUAACAAAGCAGUCUCAAAUCUUUUUGAGGAAUUACAGCUAAAAAUCUACUUUGCAUACAGUAUAUCCUCUGAUAAAUACAGUGAAGUACUUUGAUUGCAUUUCUGUGGUGUUCCUGUAGGUGACCAUGAUGCAGUCAGACUGAAGCAGCACGUUGUGAAGGUGGACGCCAUCAUCUUGUCUUUGCAGCGUUGAUUCUGAAGAGAACGCCUUCAUAUAGGACUCAAAGGUAAAAUGAUCUCUCAUAUGAUUGGACCGUGUUAUUGUAACCGCUAUCAGCAUCAAAGUAAUUUUAGUAACAAUUUAUAAUCCUUCUUAAAAUGUAAGGAAGACUAGCAGAAGAUUUUAACAGCCUCUAUGGUUCUGCAAGAAGUUCAUGUUUAACUUGUUCUUCUUUCUGUCUUCAAGGAAAUCAAUGCUCAAAGGAAACAGCAGUCCAGACUCUGAUUCCAGCUCCGAAGAUGCCCUCACAUUCAGAUCCAUCAACAACACCUGACAACAUGGAGGACUCGUCCCCUGAGUGUUUCCUGUCCUCUCUCCAUGGUGUUCUUCUCUUUAGUUAUUAACUCUUGAAAACAGCAGCACAACAUGCCAGACUGUUUGACAAGUCUGUGAUUGAAUAAAUGGAAAUGGAAUCUCA